UGGGCAUGAUCAAGGCUUUCAGAAUGCACUUUCUCAUUUGCUGUGGACAAGACCAUAAAAAACUCCCCACCACGUUUUCUAUGUGCCACCUUGUUAGCAGUCAAUUUACUGGGAACAAUA
This 120-nucleotide small nucleolar RNA is filed under the name Castor canadensis (American beaver). Its description in RNAcentral is "Small nucleolar RNA SNORA32 (ENSCCNG00000012653.1)". It matches the Rfam family "Small nucleolar RNA SNORA32". From Rfam's summary of the family: ACA32 is a member of the H/ACA class of snoRNA that guide the sites of modification of uridines to pseudouridines. The record is from Rfam by way of RNAcentral. Lineage: Eukaryota; Metazoa; Chordata; Mammalia; Rodentia; Castoridae.